UACGGAGGGUGCGAGCGUUGUCCGGAAUCACUGGGCGUAAAGGGCGCGUAGGCGGCGCGAGCAGUCGGCGGUGAAAGCCCGGAGCUCAACUCCGGGUCGGCCGUCGAUACUCUCGUGCUUGAGCACUGUAGAGGCAGGUGGAAUUCCGGGUGUAGCGGUGGAAUGCGUAGAGAUCCGGAAGAACACCGGUGGCGAAGGCGGCCUGCUGGGCAGUAGCUGACGCUGAGGCGCGACAGCGUGGGGAGCAAACAGGAUUAGAAACCCCCGUAGUCC
This 273-nucleotide ribosomal RNA is filed under the name uncultured bacterium. RNAcentral describes it as "partial 16S ribosomal RNA". It matches the Rfam family "Bacterial small subunit ribosomal RNA", at positions 524 to 796 of the family's 1533-position model. The record is from RNAcentral.